CAUACGGUACAUUCAGGCCGGUACACGUACCGACGUUUAUUCCCGUGUAAAAGCAGUUUACAACUCAUAGAGCCGUCUUCCUGCACGCGGCAUGGCUGGGUCAGACUUGCGUCCAUUGCCCAAUAUUCCUCAC
Molecule: ribosomal RNA, 133 nt
Filed under: uncultured bacterium
Lineage: Bacteria
Description: partial 16S ribosomal RNA
Source: RNAcentral